UGUACCGGUAUGGUGGACCAUGGAUUUUAUACUUUAAACAUAUCACAUGCAGAAAGAGUACCUAAGUUCUCUGGCCAUUGUUCCAUCUCAGGUAUUCUAAAUUCAACAUUGCUAUCUCUCAUAGCAGUUCUUUAUUCUACAUGGGCAGAUCAUUUGGUUAAAUCAAAGCAUCUAAAUUUUCUCUUCUUAAAGAUAAUCUCAAGUGACAACCUAAGCAGCACAUCAUGCCUCUAGUUAAUUAAUAUCAAGAGAACAUGUAUUUGAUACUCUAAGCAAGCUGAUAAACAGCAAUAGACGAGAUAGGAGUACGAGGAAAUCAAAGCUGGUCAGAUGGA
This 335-nucleotide long non-coding RNA is filed under the name Elaeis guineensis (African oil palm). Its description in RNAcentral is "long non-coding RNA (EGUI_LNC044384)". Lineage: Eukaryota; Viridiplantae; Streptophyta; Magnoliopsida; Arecales; Arecaceae. The record is from RNAcentral.